Molecule: small nuclear RNA, 163 nt
Organism: Echinops telfairi (small Madagascar hedgehog)
Lineage: Eukaryota; Metazoa; Chordata; Mammalia; Afrosoricida; Tenrecidae
Gene: U1
Rfam family: U1 spliceosomal RNA
About the family: U1 is a small nuclear RNA (snRNA) component of the spliceosome (involved in pre-mRNA splicing). Its 5' end forms complementary base pairs with the 5' splice junction, thus defining the 5' donor site of an intron.
Source: Ensembl
AUACUUACAGGCAGAGGAGACACCAUGAUCACGAAGGUGAUUUUCUCUGAGCGAGGCUCGUCCAUUGCACUGCGGAUGUGCUGACCUCUAUGAUUUCCCCAAAUGUGGGAAACUCAGCUGCACAAUUUAUGGCAGUGGGGGACUGCAUCUAUGCUUUCCCCUG